CUUACACAUGCAAGUCGGACGAUGAAGCCCAGCUUGCUGGGUGGAUUAGUGGCGAACGGGUGAGUAACACGUGAGUAACCUGCCCUUGACUCUGGGAUAAGCGUUGGAAACGACGUCUAAUACCGGAUACGAGCUUCCACCGCAUGGUGAGUUGCUGGAAAGAAUUUUGGUCAAGGAUGGACUCGCGGCCUAUCAGCUUGUUGGUGAGGUAACGGCUCACCAAGGCGACGACGGGUAGCCGGCCUGAGAGGGUGACCGGCCACACUGGGACUGAGACACGGCCCAGACUCCUACGGGAGGCAGCAGUGGGGAAUAUUGCACAAUGGGCGAAAGCCUGAUGCAGCAACGCCGCGUGAGGGACGACGGCCUUCGGGUUGUAAACCUCUUUUAGCAGGGAAGAAGCGAAAGUGACGGUACCUGCAGAAAAAGCACCGGCUAACUACGUGCCAGCAGCCGCGGUAAUACGUAGGGUGCAAGCGUUGUCCGGAAUUAUUGGGCGUAAAGAGCUCGUAGGCGGUUUGUCGCGUCUGCUGUGAAAUCCCGAGGCUCAACCUCGGGUCUGCAGUGGGUACGGGCAGACUAGAGUGCGGUAGGGGAGAUUGGAAUUCCUGGUGUAGCGGUGGAAUGCGCAGAUAUCAGGAGGAACACCGAUGGCGAAGGCAGAUCUCUGGGCCGCUACUGACGCUGAGGAGCGAAAGGGUGGGGAGCAAACAGGCUUAGAUACCCUGGUAGUCCACCCCGUAAACGUUGGGCGCUAGAUGUGGGGACCAUUCCACGGUUUCCGUGUCGUAGCUAACGCAUUAAGCGCCCCGCCUGGGGAGUACGGCCGCAAGGCUAAAACUCAAAGGAAUUGACGGGGGCCCGCACAAGCGGCGGAGCAUGCGGAUUAAUUCGAUGCAACGCGAAGAACCUUACCAAGGCUUGACAUAUACGAGAACGGGCCAGAAAUGGUCAACUCUUUGGACACUCGUAAACAGGUGGUGCAUGGUUGUCGUCAGCUCGUGUCGUGAGAUGUUGGGUUAAGUCCCGCAACGAGCGCAACCCUCGUUCUAUGUUGCCAGCACGUCAUGGUGGGAACUCAUGGGAUACUGCCGGGGUCAACUCGGAGGAAGGUGGGGACGACGUCAAAUCAUCAUGCCCCUUAUGUCUUGGGCUUCACGCAUGCUACAAUGGCCAGUACAAAGGGCUGCAAUACCGUAAGGUGGAGCGAAUCCCAAAAAGCUGGUCCCAGUUCGGAUUGAGGUCUGCAACUCGACCUCAUGAAGUCGGAGUCGCUAGUAAUCGCAGAUCAGCAACGCUGCGGUGAAUACGUUCCCGGGCCUUGUACACACCGCCCGUCAAGUCGAGGAAAGUCGGUAACACCCGAAGCCAGUGGCCUAACCGCAAGGAUGGAGCGUCUAAGUGGGUCCGG
This 1411-nucleotide ribosomal RNA is filed under the name Plantibacter sp. S58. RNAcentral's name for it is "16S ribosomal RNA". It matches the Rfam family "Bacterial small subunit ribosomal RNA". The record is from RNAcentral. Lineage: Bacteria; Bacillati; Actinomycetota; Actinomycetes; Micrococcales; Microbacteriaceae.